AUUGAACGCUGGCGGCAGGCUUAACACAUGCAAGUCGAGCGAGCGGCGGACGGGUGAGUACUGUCUGGGAAACUGCCUGAUGGAGGGGUAUAACUACUGGAUACGGUAGCUAAUACCGCAUACCAUCAGUUGUUCCCAGAUGGGAUUAGCUAGUUGUCUGUGUAGUGGCUCACCUAGGCGACGCUCCCAAGUUGGUCUGAGAGGAUGACCAGCCACACUGGAACGGUGACACGGUCCAGACGCCUACGGGAGGCAGAGGGGGGGAAUAUUGCACAAUGGGCGCAAGCCGGAUACAGCAAUGCCGCGUGUGUGAAGAAGGCAUUCGGGUUGUAAAGCACUUUCAGCGAGGAGGCGUUACUCGAAGAAGAAGCACCGGCUAACUCCGUGCCAGCAGCCGCGGUAAUAC
Molecule: ribosomal RNA, 406 nt
Filed under: uncultured bacterium
Lineage: Bacteria
Description: partial 16S ribosomal RNA
Rfam family: Bacterial small subunit ribosomal RNA
Source: RNAcentral